RNAcentral lists this ribosomal RNA (441 nucleotides) under uncultured bacterium. RNAcentral describes it as "partial 16S ribosomal RNA". It matches the Rfam family "Bacterial small subunit ribosomal RNA", at positions 338 to 795 of the family's 1533-position model. The record is from RNAcentral.
CCUACGGGAGGCAGCAGUGGGGGAUAUUGCACAAUGGGGGAAACCCUGAUGCAGCGACGCCGCGUGGGUGAAGAAGUAUUUCGGUAUGUAAAGCCCUAUCAGCAGGGAAGAAAGAAGACGGUACCUGACUAAGAAGCCCCGGCUAACUACGUGCCAGCAGCCGCGGUAAUACGUAGGGGGCGAGCGUUAUCCGGAUUCACUGGGUGUAAAGGGAGCGUAGACGGCCGUGCAAGCCAGGAGUGAAAGCCCGGGGCCCAACCCCGGGACUGCUCUUGGAACUGUGCGGCUGGAGUGCGGGAGGGGCAGGCGGAAUGCCUGGUGUAGCUGUGAAAUGCGUAGAUAUCAGGAGGAACACCGGCGGCGAAGGCGGCCUGCUGGACCGCGACUGACGUUGAGGCUCGAAAGCGUGGGGAGCGAACAGGAUUAGAUACCCUUGUAGUC